GCCUGGGUGGCUCAGUCGGUUGAGCAUCUGACUUCAGCUCAGGUCAUGAUCUCACGAUUCGUGGGUUUGAGCCCCGCGUUGGGCU
This 85-nucleotide transfer RNA is filed under the name Felis catus (domestic cat). It matches the Rfam family "tRNA". Rfam says of the family: Transfer RNA (tRNA) molecules are approximately 80 nucleotides in length. Lineage: Eukaryota; Metazoa; Chordata; Mammalia; Carnivora; Felidae. The record is from Rfam by way of RNAcentral.